UGGGGAAUAUUGCACAAUGGGCGCAAGCCUGAUGCAGCAACGCCGCGUGAGGGACGACGGCCUUCGGGUUGUAAACCUCUUUUAGUAGGGAAGAAGCGAAAGUGACGGUACCUGCAGAAAAAGCACCGGCUAACUACGUGCCAGCAGCCGCGGUAAUACGUAGGGUGCGAGCGUUGUCCGGAAUUAUUGGGCGUAAAGAGCUCGUAGGCGGUCUGUCGCGUCUGCUGUGAAAACCCGAGGCUCAACCUCGGGCCUGCAGUGGGUACGGGCAGACUAGAGUGCGUAGGGAGAAUGGAAUUCCUGGUGUAGCGGUGGAAUGCGCAGAUAUCAGGAGGAACACCGAUGGCGAAGGCAGUUCUCUGGGCCGUAACUGACGCUGAGGAGCGAAAGCGUGGGGAGCGAACAGGAUUAGAUACCCUGGUAGUCCACGCCGUAAACGUUGGGCGCUAGAUGUGGGGACCAUUCCACGGUUUCCGUGUCGCAGCUAACGCAUUAAGCGCCCCGCCUGGGGAGUACGGCCGCAAGGCUAAAACU
Molecule: ribosomal RNA, 534 nt
Filed under: uncultured bacterium
Lineage: Bacteria
Description: partial 16S ribosomal RNA
Rfam family: Bacterial small subunit ribosomal RNA
Source: RNAcentral